UGGCGGCGUGCCUAAUACAUGCAAGUCGAGCGAGCGGAACUAACAGAUUUACUUCGGUAAUGACGUUAGGAAAGCGAGCGGCGGAUGGGUGAGUAACACGUGGGGAACCUGCCCCAUAGUCUGGGAUACCACUUGGAAACAGGUGCUAAUACCGGAUAAGAAAGCAGAUCGCAUGAUCAGCUUUUAAAAGGCGGCGUAAGCUGUCGCUAUGGGAUGGCCCCGCGGUGCAUUAGCUAGUUGGUAAGGUAAAGGCUUACCAAGGCGAUGAUGCAUAGCCGAGUUGAGAGACUGAUCGGCCACAUUGGGACUGAGACACGGCCCAAACUCCUACGGGAGGCAGCAGUAGGGAAUCUUCCACAAUGGACGCAAGUCUGAUGGAGCAACGCCGCGUGAGUGAAGAAGGUUUUCGGAUCGUAAAGCUCUGUUGUUGGUGAAGAAGGAUAGAGGUAGUAACUGGCCUUUAUUUGACGGUAAUCAACCAGAAAGUCACGGCUAACUACGUGCCAGCAGCCGCGGUAAUACGUAGGUGGCAAGCGUUGUCCGGAUUUAUUGGGCGUAAAGCGAGCGCAGGCGGAAGAAUAAGUCUGAUGUGAAAGCCCCUCGGCUUAACCGAGGAACUGCAUCGGAAACUGUUUUUCUUGAGUGCAGAAGAGGAGAGUGGAACUCCAUGUGUAGCGGUGGAAUGCGUAGAUAUAUGGAAGAACACCAGUGGCGGAGGCGGCUCUCUGGUCUGCAACUGACGCUGAGGCUCGAAAGCAUGGGUAGCGAACAGGAUUAGAUACCCUGGUAGUCCAUGCCGUAAACGAUGAGUGCUAAGUGUUGGGAGGUUUCCGCCUCUCAGUGCUGCAGCUAACGCAUUAAGCACUCCGCCUGGGGAGUACGACCGCAAGGUUGAAACUCAAAGGAAUUGACGGGGGCCCGCACAAGCGGUGGAGCAUGUGGUUUAAUUCGAAGCAACGCGAAGAACCUUACCAGGUCUUGACAUCUAGUGUCAUUUGUAGAGAUACAAAGUUCCCUUCGGGGACGCUAAGACAGGUGGUGCAUGGCUGUCGUCAGCUCGUGUCGUGAGAUGUUGGGUUAAGUCCCGCAACGAGCGCAACCCUUGUUAUUAGUUGCCAGCAUUAAGUUGGGCACUCUAAUGAGACUGCCGGUGACAAACCGGAGGAAGGUGGGGAUGACGUCAAGUCAUCAUGCCCCUUAUGACCUGGGCUACACACGUGCUACAAUGGGCAGUACAACGAGAAGCGAGCCUGCGAAGGCAAGCGAAUCUCUGAAAGCUGUUCUCAGUUCGGACUGCAGUCUGCAACUCGACUGCACGAAGCUGGAAUCGCUAGUAAUCGCGGAUCAGCACGCCGCGGUGAAUACGUUCCCGGGCCUUGUACACACCGCCCGUCACACCAUGGGAGUCUGCAAUGCCCAAAGCCGGUGGCCUAACCUUCGGGAAGGAGCCGUCUAAGGCAGGGCAGAUGACUGGGGUGAAGUCAUAACAAG
This 1491-nucleotide ribosomal RNA is filed under the name uncultured organism. Its description in RNAcentral is "SSU rRNA". It matches the Rfam family "Bacterial small subunit ribosomal RNA". The record is from RNAcentral.